AGCGAACGCUGGCGGCAGGCCUAACACAUGCAAGUCGAACGAACCUUUCGGGGUUAGUGGCGGACGGGUGAGUAACACGUGGGAACGUGCCUUUAGGUUCGGAAUAACUCAGGGAAACUUGUGCUAAUACCGAAUGUGCCCUUCGGGGGAAAGAUUUAUCGCCUUUAGAGCGGCCCGCGUCUGAUUAGCUAGUUGGUUGAGGUAAUGGCUCACCAAGGCGACGAUCAGUAGCUGGUCUGAGAGGAUGAUCAGCGACAUUGGGACUGAGACACGGCCCAAACUCCUACGGGAGGCAGCAGUGGGGAAUCUUGCGCAAUGGGCGAGAGCCUGAAGCAGCCAUGCCGCGUGAAUGAUGAAGGUCUUAGGAUUGUAAAAUUCUUUCACCGGGGACGAUAAUGACGGUACCCGGAGAAGAAGCCCCGGCUAACUUCGUG
This 434-nucleotide ribosomal RNA is filed under the name uncultured bacterium. Its description in RNAcentral is "partial 16S ribosomal RNA". It matches the Rfam family "Bacterial small subunit ribosomal RNA", at positions 29 to 507 of the family's 1533-position model. The record is from RNAcentral.